This 439-nucleotide ribosomal RNA is filed under the name uncultured bacterium. Its description in RNAcentral is "partial 16S ribosomal RNA". It matches the Rfam family "Bacterial small subunit ribosomal RNA", at positions 339 to 795 of the family's 1533-position model. The record is from RNAcentral.
CUACGGGUGGCAGCAGUGAGGAAUAUUGCACAAUGGGGGGAACCCUGAUGCAGCAACGCCGCGUGGAGGAUGACGCAUUUCGGUGUGUAAACUCCUUUUAUAUGUCAAGAAAAUGACGGUAGCAUAUGAAUAAGCACCGGCUAACUCCGUGCCAGCAGCCGCGGUAAUACGGAGGGUGCAAGCAUUACUCGGAAUCACUGGGCGUAAAGGACGCGUAGGCGAGUUGAAAAGUCAGGUGUGAAAUCCUACAGCUUAACUGUAGAACUGCACUUGAAACUUCUAAUCUAGAGUAUGGGAGGGGGAGAUGGAAUUAGUGGUGUAGGGGUAAGAUCCGUAGAUAUCACUAGGAAUACCUAAAGCGAAGGCGAUCUCCUGGAACAUUACUGACGCUAAGGCGUGAAAGCGUGGGGAGCAAACAGGAUUAGAUACCCCCGUAGUC